UUUCCGUAGGUGAACCUGCGGAAGGAUCAUUCAUAAUAAAGUGUUUUAUGGCACUUUUUAAAAAACCAUAUCCACCUUGUGUGCAAUGUUAGAUCUCGUCAAUCUUGGCGAGAUUUUUAUACAUCAACUCAUUCUUUAACUAAUUUGUCUGAAAAAUAUUAUGAAUACUUAAUUCAAAAUACAACUUUCAACAACGGAUCUCUUGGCUCACGCAUCGAUGAAGAACACAGC
RNAcentral lists this unclassified non-coding RNA (231 nucleotides) under plant metagenome. Its description in RNAcentral is "partial contains small subunit ribosomal RNA, internal transcribed spacer 1, and 5.8S ribosomal RNA". The stretch from base 183 to 231 matches the Rfam family "5.8S ribosomal RNA", at positions 1 to 49 of the family's 154-position model. The record is from RNAcentral.